GACGAACGCUGGCGGCGUGCUUAACACAUGCAAGUCGUACGGUAAGGCCCUUUCGGGGGUACACGAGUGGCGAACGGGUGAGUAACACGUGAGUAACCUGCCCACAACUUUGGGAUAACGCUAGGAAACUGGUGCUAAUACUGGAUAUGUGCUCCUGCUGCAUGGUGGGGGUUGGAAAGCUCCGGCGGUUGUGGAUGGACUCGCGGCCUAUCAGCUUGUUGGUGGGGUAGUGGCCUACCAAGGCGGCGACGGGUAGCCGGCCUGAGAGGGUGACCGGCCACAUUGGGACUGAGAUACGGCCCAGACUCCUACGGGAGGCAGCAGUGGGGAAUAUUGCACAAUGGGCGCAAGACUGAUGCAGCAACGCCGCGUGCGGGAUGACGGCCUUCGGGUUGUAAACCGCUUUCAGCAGGGACGAAGCUUUUUGUGACGGUACCUGCAGAAGAAGCACCGGCUAACUACGUG
Molecule: ribosomal RNA, 465 nt
Filed under: uncultured bacterium
Lineage: Bacteria
Description: partial 16S ribosomal RNA
Rfam family: Bacterial small subunit ribosomal RNA
Source: RNAcentral